AACUGCUCUUUACUGAUCUUCACCAUCCUGAGAACCCUGGACAAGAUUUUAACAUCUAUGAGACCAAACAACAACUCAACAUCCUUGUACAUUUGAGGCCACGAUUUCUUCUUCCAACCUUUACUCUUUUUACACAGCUCCUUCAACCUCAUCCUUUUCUUCUCGAGUGAAGACUGAAUCAAUUGAAGAGGGGUUGCAAUUUGAUUCUGAUUUCCAAACAAGUUCAGAACACUGCUUGCCUUUCUCUUGUCCAUCUUCAGGAAAAGAUGGAAAGUAAGGAUUGAAC
Molecule: unclassified non-coding RNA, 286 nt
Filed under: Hevea brasiliensis (rubber tree)
Lineage: Eukaryota; Viridiplantae; Streptophyta; Magnoliopsida; Malpighiales; Euphorbiaceae
Source: RNAcentral